GUAGACGCUAUACUCUAAGAUUAACCCAUGCAUGUUUAUCGAAUAUAAAGAAAAGACGAACAGCUCAGUAACUCUUAUUUGAUUUGAUGUAUUAGGAUUCUAACUAUGUUAAAUUAUAGGUAACAAUAAUACAAUAAGAAUAAGAUCUAUCAGUUAGUUGUUAAGGUAAUGGCUUAACAAGACUAUGACGGAUAACGGUAUUACUUUGUAAUAUUCCGGAGAAGGAGCCUGAGAGAUUGCUACUAAGUCUAAGGAUUGCAGCAGGGGCGAAACUUGACCUAUGAUAUUAUAUUGAGGCAGUUAUGAGUAGUAUUUUAUAAUUAUUGUAGUAUUGUAAGUACAUAUUACAAGAUAAAUCGGAGGGCAAAUCGAGUGCCAGCAGCCGCGGUAAUACUUGUUCCGAUAGUGUGUAUGAUGAUUGAUGCAGUUAAAAAGUCUGUAGUUUAUUUAUAAUAAGCAUUGUAAGGUAUACUGUAUGGUUAGGAGAGAGAUGAAAUGUGAUAACCCUAACUGGAUGAACAGAAGCGAAAGCUGUAUACUUAAAUGUAUUAUUAGAACAAGGACGUAAGCUAGAGGAUCGAAGAUGAUUAGAUACCAUUGUAGUUCUAGCAGUAAACUAUGUUGAAUCAUAGAUAUAUUUUGACAUAUAUUUAUGUAGAGAAAUUAAGAUUAUAUUGACUCUGGGGAUAGUAUGAUCGCAAGAUUGAAAAUUAAAGAAAUUGACGGAAGAAUACCACAAGGAGUGGAUUGUGCGGCUUAAUUUGACUCAACGCGGGGUAAUUUACCAGGUAUAACAUGAUAUAAUAUUUUAUCAUGAUAGUGGUGCAUGGCCGUUUCCAAUGGAUGCUGUGAAGUAAUGAUUAAUUUCAACAAGAUGUGAGACCCUCAUUAGACAGAUGUAGUGAUACAUAUGAAGGAGAGGAUUAAAACAGGUCCGUUAUGCCCUAAGAUAAUCUGGGUUGCACGCGCAAUACAAUAAUAUUUGAUAUUAUGAGGGAUAAUAUAAUGUAAGAUAUAUUUGAACAUGGAAUUGCUAGUAAAUUUUAUUUAAUAAGUAGAAUUGAAUGAGUCCCUGUUCUUUGUACACACCGCCCGUCGCUAUCUAAGAUGGUAUUAUCUAUGAACAAAUUUAUAAAGUGAAUAGAUAGUACUAGAUCUGAUAU
This 1163-nucleotide ribosomal RNA is filed under the name Nosema sp. ICP-2002-2. Its description in RNAcentral is "bacterial SSU rRNA". It matches the Rfam family "Microsporidia small subunit ribosomal RNA". The record is from RNAcentral. Lineage: Eukaryota; Fungi; Microsporidia; Nosematidae.